Molecule: transfer RNA, 71 nt
Filed under: Marmota monax (woodchuck)
Lineage: Eukaryota; Metazoa; Chordata; Mammalia; Rodentia; Sciuridae
Description: tRNA.Ala
Rfam family: tRNA
About the family: Transfer RNA (tRNA) molecules are approximately 80 nucleotides in length. Their secondary structure includes four short double-helical elements and three loops (D, anti-codon, and T loops).
Source: RNAcentral
GGGGUUGUGGCUCAAUGGUAGAGCACUUGCUUAGCACACAUGAGGCUCUGGGUUCAAUCCUCAGCACCACA